GACGAACCGUGCGAACGUUAUUCGGAUUCACUGGGCUUAAAGGGCGCGUAGGCGGACGAGCAAGUCCGGGGUGAAAUCUUUCGGCUUAACCGGAAAAGUGCCUUGGAUACUGCUCGCCUUGAGUGAGGUAGGGGCAUGUGGAACUUCCGGUGGAGCGGUGAAAUGCGUUGAUAUCGGAAGGAACGUCGGUGGCGAAAGCGACGUGCUGGCCCUCAACUGACGCUGAGGCGCGAAAGCCAGGGGAGCAAACGGG
This 253-nucleotide ribosomal RNA is filed under the name uncultured bacterium. RNAcentral's name for it is "partial 16S ribosomal RNA". It matches the Rfam family "Bacterial small subunit ribosomal RNA", at positions 524 to 776 of the family's 1533-position model. The record is from RNAcentral.